RNAcentral lists this long non-coding RNA (822 nucleotides) under Ananas comosus (pineapple). Its description in RNAcentral is "long non-coding RNA (ACOM_LNC014453)". Lineage: Eukaryota; Viridiplantae; Streptophyta; Magnoliopsida; Poales; Bromeliaceae. The record is from RNAcentral.
AUUGAAACCACAAAAAAAUUAGGAUUAAUUUUAUACAGGUCUCUAUAAAUAUAAUAAAUGGCAAAUAUAUUUUAUGAAGUUCAACUUUCAUAUGUUAUCCCUGUAAAAGUUCUGAUGUUAUCAAAUAUGUCCCCACCGUUAAAAUCCGUUAGAAAAAUUUAAUUAACCAUAGAUUAAAUACUUAAAACCUUGGUUAGCUUUUGAUAUUGUUAUCCUCUUAUAUGGUUAGAGUUACUAUACUCUCAUGAGUAUAGAACUCUUUGUACUCAUAAGUUUUCGAUCGUUGGAUGAAGAAAUGUACGGUUAGGAUGAUAGUGGUCCCCGAUUAGUUUAAUAGUGGUCUAUUAGGGUUAAGUGGGUGGUUAGGUGAAUAAUAUGAUAGUGAGCUCGAAUAUAAUUUUUUUUUUUGAAAAAAUAAAAAAAACUGCAGAAGUAGCAGUACGGCAGAGUUAUUAAAAUUGAAACCACACAAAAAUUAGGAUUAGUUUUAUACAGGUCUCUAUAAAUAUAACAAAUGGCAAAUAUAUAUGUUAUCCCUGUAAAAGUCCUAAUGUCAUCAAAUAUGUCCCCACCGUUAAAAUCCGUUAGAAAAAUUUAAUUAACCAUAGAUUAAAUACUUAAAACCUUGGUUAGCUUUUGAUAUUGUUAUCCUCUUAUAUGGUUAGAGUUACUAUACUCUCAUGAGUAUAGAACUCUUUGUACUCAUAAGUUUUCGAUCGUUGGAUGAAGAAAUGUACGGUUAGGAUGAUAGUGGUCCCCGAUUAGUUUAAUAGUGGUCUAUUAGGGUUAAGUGGGUGGUUAGGUGAAUAAUAUGAUAGUGAG